This 107-nucleotide small RNA is filed under the name Marmota monax (woodchuck). Lineage: Eukaryota; Metazoa; Chordata; Mammalia; Rodentia; Sciuridae. The record is from RNAcentral.
GCUGGGUGUGGUGGUGCCCACCUGUAAUCCUAGCAACUCAGGAGACUGAGGCAGGAGGAUUACAAGUUGGAGGCCAGCCUCAGCAACUUAGCGAGGGCCUGUCUCAA